RNAcentral lists this ribosomal RNA (492 nucleotides) under uncultured bacterium. RNAcentral's name for it is "partial 16S ribosomal RNA". It matches the Rfam family "Bacterial small subunit ribosomal RNA", at positions 29 to 507 of the family's 1533-position model. The record is from RNAcentral.
AGUGAACGCUGGCGGUAGGCCUAACACAUGCAAGUCGAACGGCAGCACAGUAAGAGCUUGCUCUUACGGGUGGCGAGUGGCGGACGGGUGAGGAAUACAUCGGAAUCUACUUUUUCGUGGGGGAUAACGUAGGGAAACUUACGCUAAUACCGCAUACGACCUACGGGUGAAAGCAGGGGAUCUUCGGACCUUUCGCGAUUGAAUGAGCCGAUGUCGGAUUAGCUAGUUGGCGGGGUAAAGGCACACCAAGGCAACGAUCCGUAGCUGGUCUGAGAGGAUGAUCAGCCACACUGGAACUGAGACACGGUCCAGACUCCUACGGGAGGCAGCAGUGGGGAAUAUUGGACAAUGGGCGAAAGCCUGAUCCAGCCAUACCGCGUGGGUGAAGAAGGCCUUCGGGUUGUAAAGCCCUUUUGUUGGGAAAGAAAAGCAGCAGGUUAAUACCCCGCUGUUCUGACGGUACCCAAAGAAUAAGCACCGGCUAACUUCGUG